RNAcentral lists this ribosomal RNA (714 nucleotides) under uncultured bacterium. Its description in RNAcentral is "bacterial SSU rRNA". It matches the Rfam family "Bacterial small subunit ribosomal RNA", at positions 111 to 823 of the family's 1533-position model. The record is from RNAcentral.
UAACACGUAUCCAACCUGCCGUCUACUCUUGGACAGCCUUCUGAAAGGAAGAUUAAUACAAGAUGGCAUCAUGAGUCCACAUGUUCACAUGAUUAAAGGUAUUCCGGUAGACGAUGGGGAUGCGUUCCAUUAGAUAGUAGGCGGGGUAACGGCCCACCUAGUCUUCGAUGGAUAGGGGUUCUGAGAGGAAGGUCCCCCACAUUGGAACUGAGACACGGUCCAAACUCCUACGGGAGGCAGCAGUGAGGAAUAUUGGUCAAUGGGCGAGAGCCUGAACCAGCCAAGUAGCGUGAAGGAUGACUGCCCUAUGGGUUGUAAACUUCUUUUAUAAAGGAAUAAAGUCGGGUAUGGAUACCCGUUUGCAUGUACUUUAUGAAUAAGGAUCGGCUAACUCCGUGCCAGCAGCCGCGGUAAUACGGAGGAUCCGAGCGUUAUCCGGAUUUAUUGGGUUUAAAGGGAGCGUAGAUGGAUGUUUAAGUCAGUUGUGAAAGUUUGCGGCUCAACCGUAAAAUUGCAGUUGAUACUGGAUAUCUUGAGUGCAGUUGAGGCAGGCGGAAUUCGUGGUGUAGCGGUGAAAUGCUUAGAUAUCACGAAGAACUCCGAUUGCGAAGGCAGUCUGCUAAGCUGCAACUGACAUUGAGGCUCGAAAGUGUGGGUAUCAAACAGGAUUAGAUACCCUGGUAGUCCACACGGUAAACGAUGAAUACUCGCUGU